RNAcentral lists this unclassified non-coding RNA (447 nucleotides) under Hevea brasiliensis (rubber tree). Lineage: Eukaryota; Viridiplantae; Streptophyta; Magnoliopsida; Malpighiales; Euphorbiaceae. The record is from RNAcentral.
ACCUUCAGCCUUUUUAUAUACUUGUAUAUAAAUCAUUAACUAAAACUUUGCAUCCCAAGAACAUGAAUUCAAACAGCUCGGUAGAGCUACUCCGAAAGCACAACCGGUCAUAUAGCUAAUCAAAGAAAAACUGGAAAAACAUGUCACUGCUAAGAAAAUGAGUACUAAGAGGGUGUAGGGAAUAAAGAGAAAGAUCAUUUACAUGAUCAGUUCACGGAUUGGCUAGUGCAUUCUCUAGCAAAGUGGCCCGCCUCUCCACAGUUGUAACACUUGCUUCCUCCACUACCACCCCCAGAUCUCCCAAAAUUACUACCACCACCACCGGGACAGUCUCUAGCCAAGUGUCCUUGUGCACCGCAUGAAUAACAAGCCCCACUACCUCCUCCACCACGGCCGCCAACACGUCCAGCACUCGGGCAAUCUCGAGCCAUAUGGCCAUACCCACCG